UACGAAGGGUCCUAGCGUUGUUCGGAAUUACUGGGCGUAAAGGGCGCGUAGGCGGCCUACUAAGUCAGGUGUGAAAGCCCCGAGCUUAACUUGGGAACUGCACUUGAUACUGGUAGGCUAGAGAUCGGAAGAGGUGAGUGGAAUUCCUAGUGUAGAGGUGAAAUUCGUAGAUAUUAGGAAGAACACCAGUGGCGAAGGCGGCUCACUGGUCCGAUACUGACGCUAAGGCGCGAAAGCGUGGGGAGCAAACAGG
This 253-nucleotide ribosomal RNA is filed under the name uncultured bacterium. RNAcentral's name for it is "partial 16S ribosomal RNA". It matches the Rfam family "Bacterial small subunit ribosomal RNA", at positions 524 to 776 of the family's 1533-position model. The record is from RNAcentral.